UACGUAGGCAGCGAGCGUUGUUCGGAUUUACUGGGCGUAAAGGGCGCGUAGGCGGUCAGCACAAGUCAGUUGUGAAAUCUCCGAGCUUAACUCGGAACGGUCAACUGAUACUGUGCGACUAGAGUGCGGAAGGGGCAACUGGAAUUCUCGGUGUAGCGGUGAAAUGCGUAGAUAUCGAGAGGAACACCUGCGGCGAAGGCGGGUUGCUGGGCCGACACUGACGCUGAUGCGCGAAAGCCAGGGGAGCGAACGGG
This 254-nucleotide ribosomal RNA is filed under the name uncultured bacterium. Its description in RNAcentral is "partial 16S ribosomal RNA". It matches the Rfam family "Bacterial small subunit ribosomal RNA", at positions 524 to 776 of the family's 1533-position model. The record is from RNAcentral.